RNAcentral lists this transfer RNA (71 nucleotides) under Cordylochernes scorpioides. Its description in RNAcentral is "tRNA-Gly". Lineage: Eukaryota; Metazoa; Arthropoda; Arachnida; Pseudoscorpiones; Chernetidae. The record is from RNAcentral.
UACAUCGGCCGGGGAUCGAACCCGGGCCGCCCGCGUGGCAGGCGAGAAUUCUACCACUGAACCACCAAUGC